CAGUCGCCGCGGUAAUACGUAGGGUGCAAGCGUUAAUCGGAAUUACUGGGCGUAAAGCGUGCGCAGGCGGUUCGUUAAGACAGAUGUGAAAUCCCCGGGCUUAACCUGGGAACUGCAUUUGUGACUGGCGGGCUAGAGUAUGGCAGAGGGGGGUAGAAUUCCACGUGUAGCAGUGAAAUGCGUAGAGAUCAGGAGGAACACCGAUGGCGAAGGCAGCCCCCUGGGCCUGUACUGACGCUCAUGCACGAAAGCGUGGGGAGCAAACAGGAUUAGAUACCCGCGUAGUCCCUGUCUCUUAUAC
Molecule: ribosomal RNA, 301 nt
Filed under: uncultured bacterium
Lineage: Bacteria
Description: partial 16S ribosomal RNA
Rfam family: Bacterial small subunit ribosomal RNA
Source: RNAcentral